UCUCGUCGAAUUUUUGAGUGACCGCAGCACGUACGUCGUGUCAUCAAGUUGGGUGUUGGAAAGAAAUGAUGGAUUAUAUUCCUCCUGGCCAUCAAGAGCCUCAAAAUUGGAGAUCCUCAAGCUUUUAAAAUGCCACCAUCCACCAGAGCCUUCAUGGGGAAAACACAAAAUUCGUAUUCUCUGCACCACAGAUGAUAUUGACGAAGCCAUGGAAAAGUUAGCUCUGGCUGAGGACACGUCAAACCUUGAGAGCGACGCCGAGGUACAUAAGAAAACACGAAAGGAGAGAAAACGUGUAAUUUUCUCUAGCACUGAAAGUGACUCAGAUGGAGAUGAGGCGAAACAGAUUGUGAGAAAAUCAGAAAAGCGUGCUGCUCGAGCUCGGACAAUGGUGGCAAAUCAACUUCCUCCUCCACCUCCAGUGCCUACCAUAAGUGGUACCUACUCACAUCCUCCAGUAGUGCAGGGUACAAGUGCACGUCCUCCUGCCGUGCAUUCAGGACGAUCCCUGCCCAGACAUUCCACAGUAGUCUCACACUGCUCGUCCAGCACAUCGUUUUCGUGAGCAGACCCAUGUGCUAACCGACGGAGCAGGCACACGACUGGAUAUGAGAUCUCCAUCUCCUGACAGAGUUACAUCUGUGUAUGCUCCACGGAGCACAGCUCAAGAAUAUGGUGGGGACGUUUGAUGUGAUCCACCUGCCAGACUAUCGCAGCCAUCAUCAUGGGAACCUUCAGUGCCUCGUUAUGGGACACCACAACAUGCACUAGAAGACCAGGAAAGUCAUCAUCUGUUGAAGACACUACUGGAGAAAAUCUCCACUCUUGAGUCUAGAUUUAAAGUAUUCGAAAGCAGGAUUUUUCUGCAUAACAAAGAAACUUUGCUGGAAAUACGUGAAAUGAACAAGCGAUGCGUCCAUGGGAAAGUACCCUUAAAUCUCCCUGAGGACUGCCCCAUGAUACCUGCCACUGCCUUCGAAAUGUUGGAGGAUUUAGACACCUACCUCCAGUAGGAGAGGAACCUAACUUCUAUGGUAAUUUAUUAAAUUCGUUCUUUUGGAGAUAAUGCAUGUGUUAAAAUAGCCAUCUCUAAAUUGUAAUAUGCAAAUGAUCCAAAACCUAAAAUA
This is a long non-coding RNA of Ornithodoros turicata, 1127 nucleotides long. RefSeq lists it as uncharacterized. The record is from RefSeq and is a predicted model, not a curated record. The transcript is spliced from 8 exons. NCBI's taxonomy places the organism in Eukaryota, Metazoa, Arthropoda, Arachnida, Ixodida, Argasidae.